RNAcentral lists this ribosomal RNA (409 nucleotides) under uncultured Bifidobacterium sp. Its description in RNAcentral is "bacterial SSU rRNA". It matches the Rfam family "Bacterial small subunit ribosomal RNA", at positions 355 to 776 of the family's 1533-position model. Lineage: Bacteria; Bacillati; Actinomycetota; Actinomycetes; Bifidobacteriales; Bifidobacteriaceae. The record is from RNAcentral. RNAcentral also lists the same sequence under 1 other name.
UGGGGAAUAUUGCACAAUGGGCGAAAGCCUGAUGCAGCGACGCCGCGUGCGGGAUGACGGCCUUCGGGUUGUAAACCGCUUUUGAUUGGGAGCAAGCGAGAGUGAGUGUACCUUUCGAAUAAGCACCGGCUAACUACGUGCCAGCAGCCGCGGUAAUACGUAGGGUGCAAGCGUUAUCCGGAUUUAUUGGGCGUAAAGAGCUCGUAGGCGGUUCGUCGCGUCUGGUGUGAAAGUCCAUCGCUUAACGGUGGAUCGGCGCCGGGUACGGGCGGACUGGAGUGCGGUAGGGGAGACUGGAAUUCCCGGUGUAACGGUGGAAUGUGUAGAUAUCGGGAAGAACACCGAUGGCGAAGGCAGGUCUCUGGGCCGUCACUGACGCUGAGGAGCGAAAGCGUGGGGAGCGAACAGG